CAGGGGUCUUCUUGCGCCACAGCAGCCACAGCCGCAGCGGGGCCUUCGGUUGGUCUUGCGGGCUGGGGAGCUUCAGCAGGACGUCGACGAGGCCCUUCGGCAUCACGCCAACCGCGCCCCUCUUCUUAUCCUGCAGGAUCCCCAUCACUUGGUGGAGGAGUACGUCAGAGGUGGAGUUUGGGUGAAUGUGGAGUCGGGGUCGUGGAGGGAGGCGUUGGUGGAGAGACUGGCAGUCACGCCACGCACGCCGCUUUAUUUGCGUCUGCAACAUGCUGUGGC
Long non-coding RNA from Penaeus monodon (black tiger shrimp), 279 nucleotides. RefSeq lists it as uncharacterized. NCBI's taxonomy places the organism in Eukaryota, Metazoa, Arthropoda, Malacostraca, Decapoda, Penaeidae. The record is from RefSeq and is a predicted model, not a curated record. The transcript has 3 exons.